This 253-nucleotide ribosomal RNA is filed under the name uncultured bacterium. Its description in RNAcentral is "partial 16S ribosomal RNA". It matches the Rfam family "Bacterial small subunit ribosomal RNA", at positions 524 to 776 of the family's 1533-position model. The record is from RNAcentral.
UACAGAGGUCCCAAGCGUUGUUCGGAUUCACUGGGCGUAAAGGGUGCGUAGGCGGUCGGGCAAGUCUGACGUGAAAUCUUCAAGCUCAACUUGGAAACUGCGUCGGAUACUAUUCGGCUAGAGGAAUGGAGGGGAGACUGGAAUACUUGGUGUAGCAGUGAAAUGCGUAGAUAUCAAGUGGAACACCAGUGGCGAAGGCGAGUCUCUGGACAUUUCCUGACGCUGAGGCACGAAAGCCAGGGGAGCAAACGGG